RNAcentral lists this ribosomal RNA (466 nucleotides) under uncultured bacterium. RNAcentral's name for it is "partial 16S ribosomal RNA". It matches the Rfam family "Bacterial small subunit ribosomal RNA", at positions 28 to 507 of the family's 1533-position model. The record is from RNAcentral.
GACGAACGCUGGCGGCGCGCCUAACACAUGCAAGUCGAACGAGCGCGAGAGAGCUUGCUUUCUCGAGCGAGUGGCGAACGGGUGAGUAACGCGUGAGCAACCGGCCUCAAAGAGGGGGACAACAGUUGGAAACGACUGCUAAUCCCGCAUCAGCCCACGGCUCGGCAUCGAGCAGGGGGAAAUGGAGCAGUACGGUUUGAGAUGGCCUCGCGUUCGAUUAGAUAGUUGGUGGGGUAACGGCCCCCCAAGGCGACCAUCGGUAGACGGACUGAGAGGUUGAACGGCCACAUUGGGACUGAGACACAGCCGAGAAUCCUACGGGAGGCAGCAGUGGGGAAUAUAGCAAAACGGGGGGAACCAUGAUGCAGCGACGCCGCGUGGAGGCAGAAGGUCUGCGAAAAAUAAACUCCUGUUGUUGGGGAAGAUAAUGACGGUACCCAACGAAGAAGUGACGGCUAACUACGUG